This 481-nucleotide ribosomal RNA is filed under the name uncultured bacterium. RNAcentral's name for it is "bacterial SSU rRNA". It matches the Rfam family "Bacterial small subunit ribosomal RNA", at positions 32 to 524 of the family's 1533-position model. The record is from RNAcentral.
AAUCAACGCUGGCGGCGUGCCUCAGACAUGCAAGUCGAACGAUUAAAGCUCUCUUCGGAGAGUGUAUAGAGUGGCGCACGGGUGAGUAACACGUAAAUAAUCUACCCUCGAGUGGGGAAUAACAACCGGAAACGGUUGCUAAUACCGCAUAAUGCAGCGGCACCGCAAGGUGACAGUUGUUAAAGAUUUAUCGCUUGAGGAGGAGCUUGCGGCAGAUUAGCUAGUUGGUAGGGUAACGGCUUACCAAGGCUACGAUCUGUAACCGGUCUAAGAGGACGGUCGGUCACACUGACACUGAAUAACGGGUCAGACUCCUACGGGAGGCAGCAGUCGGGAAUUUUGGGCAAUGGGCGAAAGCCUGACCCAGCAACGCCGCGUGAAGGAUGAAGUAUUUCGGUAUGUAAACUUCGAAAGAAUAGGAAGAAUUAAUGACGGUACUAUUAUAAGGUCCGGCUAACUACGUGCCAGCAGCCGCGGUAAU